GAUGAAGGAACGUAGCGAAAUGCGAUACGUAAUGUGAAUUGCAAAUUCAGUGAAUCAUCGAGUCUUUGAACGCACAUUGCGCCCCCUGGUAUUCCGGGGGGCAUGCCUGUCCGAGCGUCAUUGCUGCCCUCAAGCACGGCUUGUGUGUUGGGCCCCGUCCUCCGAUCCCGGGGGACGGGCCCGAAAGGCAGCGGCGGCACCGCGUCCGGUCCUCGAGCGUAUGGGGCUUUGUCACCCGCUCUGUAGGCCCGGCCGGCGCUUGCCGAUCAACCCAAAUUUUUUAUCCAGGUUGACCUCGGAUCAGGUAGGGAUACCCGCUGAACUUAAGCAUAUCAAUAAGCGGAGGA
RNAcentral lists this unclassified non-coding RNA (347 nucleotides) under soil metagenome. RNAcentral's name for it is "partial contains 5.8S ribosomal RNA, internal transcribed spacer 2, and large subunit ribosomal RNA". The stretch from base 1 to 120 matches the Rfam family "5.8S ribosomal RNA", at positions 35 to 154 of the family's 154-position model. The record is from RNAcentral.